RNAcentral lists this ribosomal RNA (396 nucleotides) under uncultured bacterium. RNAcentral's name for it is "partial 16S ribosomal RNA". It matches the Rfam family "Bacterial small subunit ribosomal RNA", at positions 523 to 918 of the family's 1533-position model. The record is from RNAcentral.
AUACGUAGGUGACAAGCGUUAUCCGGAUUUACUGGGCGUAAAGGGCGUGUAGGCGGUCUUGCAAGUCAGAAGUGAAAUUCCUGAGCUCAACUCGGGCGCUGCUUCUGAAACUGCAGGACUUGAGUGCUGGAGGGGAUAGCGGAAUUCCUAGUGGAGCGGUAAAAUGCGCAGAUAUUAGGAAGAACACCGGUGGCGAAGGCGGCUAUCUGGACAGUAACUGACGCUGAGGCGCGAAAGCGUGGGGAGCAAACAGGAUUAGAUACCCUGGUAGUCCACGCUGUAAACGAUGAAUACUAGGUGUCAGGUGGCGAAGCCAUUUGGUGCCGACGCAAACGCAUUAAGUAUUCCACCUGGGGAGUACGUUCGCAAGAAUGAAACUCAAAUGAAUUGACGGGG